CAGAAUUCCACUGAAUGCAGUCACCUGCAAAGUCUUUGUUUCCCUUUCACAAAGAGAGAGACUGAGCUGGCAGAGCCCCCUCCCCUUCCUCCUGCCUGAAAAAUGGACCUGACACCCAGAGGUACAGCAACUGUCUUGACUGUGGGACAAAGCUACACUCUAAGGGUGGCUAUGCAUUCUGAGUAAGGGACGCUCACCCACCCUGGACAACACAUUAGACAAAAAGGAUGGCUCUGAGCCUCCUGGAGUUGCCAGGCAACCUCCCUAUCCCCCCUCUGCCUGCCUUGGGCUGGCUCAGGUGUCAGGGGACUGUUCAGAGAGAACUUUCAACCCCCAGAAAGCUCACCUGAGGCUACAGAUGUCCACCAAGCGUACCCACACUUGCUAUUCUCUCCUACGUGGGAUCGUCUACACCCUGGGUGUGAACUGAUUUUGCACUUCGAGUGCAGAAAAAUAUGUGGGUGUGUGAAAAAUAAAGCAAGCACUUG
This 488-nucleotide long non-coding RNA is filed under the name Homo sapiens (human). RNAcentral describes it as "HSALNT0049048". The record is from RNAcentral. Lineage: Eukaryota; Metazoa; Chordata; Mammalia; Primates; Hominidae.